This 680-nucleotide long non-coding RNA is filed under the name Vulpes vulpes (red fox). Its description in RNAcentral is "lncRNA (ENSVVUG00000022366.1)". Lineage: Eukaryota; Metazoa; Chordata; Mammalia; Carnivora; Canidae. The record is from RNAcentral.
AUCCUGAAGGAAAGGUUCUCACCCGCCAUCUUGGGUCAAGUGUGCAACCAAGGCCAGCGAAAGCAUGAGUCAUCCUGGGGCAGAUUAUCAACCUGAGCCUGUCAGUGAUGCAAGGGUGGGGGUCAUUGCACUAAAGCUAGAACCCAGGGAAGGUCUGCUGACUCUUCCUCACAGACAGGAACUGGUAUACAUCUGUCAACAAAGGAGGUCAGAAGAGAACAGAAGUCAGAAGAGAGGACAAUUAAAAUAAGCCUCCUAUGCUGAAGUGUGCCCUAUGUCGAGUCCUGGCAAGAAACUGAAUUCCACAGGACUGGGCCCAGGCGCCUCCUACAGACUACACAUCUCCAUGUACUCAGUCUGCAUAGGAGCCAUCAUCUACGAGCCAAAAGGAGUGAGUCAGCCCCCAAGAACAGGGUACUACAGAACACUGGACAGCUACCUGCCAUGGCUGGCUCUUUACCACAUCCAUCCAGCUCUGGACACACCCCCCCGAGACAGAGAUCUGUGGUGGUGGGGACUUCCAGAAUGAUGCUGUCCUCCCCUACCCCACCCUGGAUAUAUGCUACUUUUGAACCAUGAGCUGUGACCAUAUGGCCUUAGGAAAGCUGAAGGAUCAGCCUGGGAACUUGUCUCUUCAUUUAGUCCCUAAUAAGACAAUAAAUGUUUUUAAAGGCUUUCCA